UAGCUGUCCAGUUUUCCCAGCACCAUUUAUUGAAGAGACUGUCUUCCCUCCAUUGUAUAGUCUUGCCUCCUUUGUCAUAUGUUAAGUGCUUUGACUAUAGAUUGACUCUGAAAGUUGGAGAUCAGUAACUCGUGUUUGCAUUACUGUCCUUCCAGCUGCAAGUCUUGGGCUCUCUCUGUCCUAAAUGAUUCAGCACCUCCUUCCAUUCUAAUACUGUAACUCAAAUAUUUUUGGAAAGAACUAAGAUGUAAAUCAUAAAUAAAAUCCUGUUUGUUCUAUUAAUGUAUUACUAACCCUAUGCUUUAAAUUUGUCAAUAUCAAUAUCUUUUUAUCUAUCAUCUUCUCAUCCUAGACUGUAGUUCUCCAGGGGCAGCGAUUGUGUCCGGCACCCCCUCCCUCUUUGUCGCAGGCUUUUUGCCAAGCAGUUUAUUAAUAACGUUUGUGCCGUGGCUGAUAAAGGAGGGUGAGGAACAUGAUGAUAGCAGGGUUUGAAUCUCAGCCCUUUUCUAAUGGGAUAAAUGAGACACUCUUUGGCUGGGAAUUUACAGCCUAGGCUGAAAGGACUUCUUUCAGAGAGGCAUCAUUUCUUACUGCCCUUCCCAGGGGUAGAUGAAAUUAAGCAGGUGUCCUCCAGGCCAGCUUCUGCCAUCCACUGCAGUCCAGAGGUACAGGACGCGGUUACAGCUCUCUGGCCACAGUCCGGCACUGUUCCCUUAAGGAUCCCCUGGUAGGGGACUUGCGAUUAUAAUGUUGGCCACUGGUGGGAGCUUUCUCCACCCGCAGCCACUCUGAUACAGAUAAGAUCAUGCUCUGUGUAGAGUUCUGUAACUUCCUCUUCUCACUCAGUAAUGCAUCUUGGACCCCAUUCUGUGUCAGUGAGUGUAUAGCAAGUGGUGGUUGUUUAGAUUGUUACAACUCUUGGCAAUUGUAAACAUAAUUGAGCUGAUCGUUAUGGUCCCUACAUUGCUUGGAUUGGAGCUGCUUAUAACCCACUCUUCGCCUGCCUGUAGGAGAGAGGUUGUCCCCUUCUCACAAGGAGAACUGGCUGUGAAACUGGGCAAUGGAUUAUGGGGCAGUGUUCCAGAGGUUUCCCUUACCAUGCAGAAGACACUUGAAUGUCAAGGACUCUCCCUCCAUCUGAAGUCCUUUUCUGCAGGAGUCAAGACUGCCAGACCAAGGUAAAACUCUCCUGCUGAUAGAAACUUACAGAUUGGGUCAGAAACACAACAUUCAAUUAGAAGCUGGUAAUAGGAGACCCACAAGAAACAAGUAACACCACAAGGUUUACGACAAAGGAGACGCAAUAUUUGCUUGAGUCUAAGACACGUGUUAGAAGUACAGCUAGAACGAUGCAUUUCUGCCUGGACAGAUGUUACUAUCCUGUCUCCAGCUCCAGGUAAUAAGAGUCCUACAGAGUGUACUUAGAAGGAAAACUACGAGCAAUAUUUCCAUGAGGUCUUUUUCUCCAUCCUCAUUUCGCCAUAAACUUCUAACACGACAUUAAGGAUUCUAGCCUCCUCCCUGGUCUGUGAUUCCUGUUUCUUUCCACUCGAGUCUGUUACCAGUGCAUUUUCCGCAGGGCAUGUAGCCCUCACGUACCUACCAUCUGCUCUCCAUUCCCUAUCCCCUGAGUGCUGAAGCUACUUAUUAGGUAAUGAGGACCCCAGGUUGAAGCCUUUUCUGCUCCAUAGAGCGACAGCCCAGUGCUGGAGAAAGACACCUAAAAUAAAUACAUUGGUUUGAUUCCACGAUGGUCAGAGAACAUACUUUGUAUGAUUGCACUUAUUUUGCCAUUGUCAAGGUUAGUCGAAUGACGUGUUGGCGUGGACAUCCUUUGCUCCCGUCUCCAGUGUUCCUGCUACACUCCCAUCCUCUGGACAUCUGGUAGUUGCUGGCGCUGUUGGCACGGUCCACUCUCAUUCUUUUGAACUCCACGUGGAUUUCCAGGCACAAGUCCCUUGAACAGACACUCUUCGGCUAUAUCAUUGGCCAGGUGGUGCGCCUGGCAAACACGUGACCAUAGAGAAUGGGUACCCUCACUCCACUGGGGCAGCUCUGUGAUGUCCUGAGGCAGAUGGAGGCCCAAGCUGUCCAGAUGCUGAGACUGGGGCUAGGAAGGGGCUUUCUGGGCCUGCCCUGUCUAGAGGCUGACAUCAGGUUCUGCAGUCCUAGGAGGGUACCUCCUGGGAGCUGCCAUUGCUCGGAAUCCUGAGACCUCCUCCCUUCCAAGCCGGUGACCGGUCUGACUGGGAGAUGGGAAUUUCACUGACUACAGUCCCAUUUGGCCUUCUGGCGCCGCAACGCAGGACCUUCUCUUGUGUUUCAUUCCUGUCCGUGUUACACCUGACAGAGGAGUUGAACCUGGUGGGAGCUGAAUUGUCCCGAGAAAGGGCCAGAGGUCUACCUGGUGGAGGGGAUGGCCCAGGAAGGAAGAGGGACCCUCGGAGGUGUGAGCAGAAGUGGCAAUAACUUAUCCCUUGUUACAGGAUUGUGGGGACUGGUAAAAGUAAGGGGAGCUAAGGUUUGAUUUAAAAAUCUCUUGCUUUGGGACUUCCCUGGUGGUCCAGUGGGUAAGACGCUGCGCUCCCAAUGCAGGGGGCCCAGAUUCGAGCCCUGGU
Aethalodelphis obliquidens (Pacific white-sided dolphin) is the source of this 2618-nucleotide long non-coding RNA. RefSeq lists it as uncharacterized. The record is from RefSeq and is a predicted model, not a curated record. The transcript has 5 exons. Lineage: Eukaryota; Metazoa; Chordata; Mammalia; Artiodactyla; Delphinidae.